AGUGAACGCUGGCGGUAGGCCUAACACAUGCAAGUCGAACGGCAGCACAGUAAGAGCUUGCUCUUACGGGUGGCGAGUGGCGGACGGGUGAGGAAUACAUCGGAAUCUACUUUUUCGUGGGGGAUAACGUAGGGAAACUUACGCUAAUACCGCAUACGACCUACGGGUGAAAGCAGGGGAUCUUCGGACCUUGCGCGAUUGAAUGGGCCGAUGUCGGAUUAGCUAGUUGGCGGGGUAAAGGCCCACCAAGGCGACGAUCCGCAGCUGGUCUGAGAGGAUGAUCAGCCACACUGGAACUGAGACACGGUCCAGACUCCUACGGGAGGCAGCAGUGGGGAAUAUUGGACAAUGGGCGCAAGCCUGAUCCAGCCAUACCGCGUGGGUGAAGAAGGCCUUCGGGUUGUAAAGCCCUUUUGUUGGGAAAGAAAAGCAGCAGGUUAAUACCCCGCUGUUCUGACGGUACCCAAAGAAUAAGCACCGGCUAACUUCGUG
Molecule: ribosomal RNA, 492 nt
Filed under: uncultured bacterium
Lineage: Bacteria
Description: partial 16S ribosomal RNA
Rfam family: Bacterial small subunit ribosomal RNA
Source: RNAcentral